This 481-nucleotide ribosomal RNA is filed under the name uncultured bacterium. Its description in RNAcentral is "bacterial SSU rRNA". It matches the Rfam family "Bacterial small subunit ribosomal RNA", at positions 28 to 526 of the family's 1533-position model. The record is from RNAcentral.
GACGAACGCUGGCGGCGUGCUUAACACAUGCAAGUCGAACGGAAAGGCCCUUCGGGGUACUCGAGUGGCGAACGGGUGAGUAACACGUGGGUGAUCUGCCCUGCACUUCGGGAUAAGCCUGGGAAACUGGGUCUAAUACCGGAUAUGACCUCAGGAUGCAUGUUCUGGGGUGGAAAGCUUUUGCGGUGUGGGAUGGGCCCGCGGCCUAUCAGCUUGUUGGUGGGGUCACGGCCUACCAAGGCGACGACGGGUAGCCGGCCUGAGAGGGUGACCGGCCACACUGGGACUGAGAUACGGCCCAGACUCCUACGGGAGGCAGCAGUGGGGAAUAUUGCACAAUGGGCGCAAGCCUGAUGCAGCGACGCCGCGUGAGGGACGACGGCCUUCGGGUUGUAAACCUCUUUCAGCACAGACGAAGCGCGAGUGACGGUAUGUGCAGAAGAAGGACCGGCCAACUACGUGCCAGCCGCCGCCGUAACAC